GCAGAGAAACCCAGCCGGUGGCAGGAGAGC
This 30-nucleotide non-coding RNA is filed under the name Homo sapiens (human). The record is from RNAcentral. Lineage: Eukaryota; Metazoa; Chordata; Mammalia; Primates; Hominidae.